This is a long non-coding RNA of Phocoena sinus (vaquita), 2690 nucleotides long. Lineage: Eukaryota; Metazoa; Chordata; Mammalia; Artiodactyla; Phocoenidae. The record is from Ensembl.
AUAUUCCAAAAACUCAGAAUGUUCACUAAAUGCAAAUUAGGCAAAGUAUUGAAAAUAAGAAAGAAAACCCAUCCUAAGAUAAUUUCUGUGCCAAGGACAGACAAGAAUUACCGAAAUAGACCCCCAUGAAUACUUGAAAGGCAGUAACUGCGAAUGACAAUCCAGCUCAUCUAUCCCUUAGUAUCUGAUUUCAGUGACAGCUUAAAAGUGCCGGGUCUAGAGUUUGUUUGGGGGUUUUGGUUUUCUUUUUUUUUAAUCCAAAUAACGUUCCCUGGCUCUCGUCAAUUCUCAGCGUUUCACUCUUUGUCUAAAACAGUCACCCAUCUUGUUUUCUCUCAACCCUGAUGACCACUCUCCAUCACCUUCGCGACGUAACCACAGAAGGCAGUAAGGAAAAUGCACUGCAUGGGGGCAGGCUGCCGGGCGGUCCCUUGGGCCUCUGCCUGCUCCGGUCAGCGGGCCUGGGGGACGACGGCAGGACGGCGGUGUCACCUCAUCUGGUCCUUAGCAGCCCAGGGUCUCUUAGAGCUUCUGCUUUCUUAGAAGUUACCUGAAUCUAGCUUCUUCAGUUCGCUGAAACAGAGUCGUUAUGGGCCAUUUUGCCUUGAAGUUAAGAAGUGCGUGCCAGGGUUUACAUACAUAUCGCAUGUUAAACAUCGGUUACCACAGCCACCUGUAAAGUCCUGGGUAUUUCUAUUUCUGACUCUUGUCAGCCUAAAGAUGAAUUUGGAAAGUCCACCCAGUGGGCUUAGCUUCAGAGAGUGUGCCGCUUUUCUACCUGCUGCCUCUGGAACAGGAAGCAGCGAGGCAUUCGUCUCAGUGCUCUAUCUUUUUUCCUGAAAUACUUGCCAUUAUUUCCCAAAGGCCCAUUGGUAGCUAACGUCAGAUACUCCCUAAGGUCAGAUGACAGAUGCUUAAAGCAACCUGACAUGGAUUAUUCCUCCCACAUAAGGAUGCAGUGACAGAUUCUGAGAGAAACGGUUUGCAAAAUGUUUGAACCACUUUCUACAUCUCACAUUGUUAAACAGAACAGUUAGAUUUGCUGCAUAUGAACUUGCUCUUCAAGAGAACCAGUUUGGAACUGGCAAGACCACACAGCAGUGGUACAUGUUGUCUAACAGUUACUAGUUGUUCCACACGUGACUCCAGUAUUUCCCUAGCUCUUGUAGCUCACCUCCGAAAUCACAGACUCUAUGAAGAGAGCCUGGGUUGAUCAAUUCUCAAGCCCCUACCCAGGCCCUGUGCUAGCGCUUCUCUUUGUUUGCUCUUUCCUCCUCACCCUGACUCUGCACCCCUGUACUGACUCUGGUGUCAUUUUCUGCCUUGCCAGUAGGGGGCACUGCUGUGCAGGGUAAUUGCCUGGCCUGCUCCCUUCCUGACCCCCCAGGAGGUCCUGCACUACCUCCGUCUUAUUCAGACUUCAGGGUACAUCUUGAUAAGUCAAGUCAAAACUGCCAAUUUUAGGGCUGAGAUGUGUUUUUUUAAAAAUCCUUAUAGACUCCACUUUGUACUUUAGAUUUUGAAACUGGGCAGAAAAUGUGACGUACUUUGGACCACUUUUUUUAAUUUAUCGAAGCCUUAAUGAACAGUGUAUAUACAUUUGCAUACACACACACCCCGACCCAAAAGUGUUUUCAGUGCGUCGGAGACAAAGCUGUAGCAUUAGGACGUGAGCUGGUAUGUUUCAUAGAAAAGGAGAGCUUUCCGUUGGUAUGGAAUUUUCCAAGAAAAUCUCUCAUUAGACCGCCCCCCUUCGUCAAAGGUGUUAGGUGCAGAGCAACGCAUGUUUAAGAUGCAUGUCUUUGUGUUGGUUGGUUUUGUGUUUGUAUGAGUAAUGAUAGAAUAUAACAACAUUAGCGACAGACCUCUGUGUACUACCUUCUCAACCUGUAUCAGUGCAUCGUAAGCCUUCUCAUGACCAUGACCCUGUGUCCACACAUCUGUGCUCCUACAUAAACCAGUCUGCCCCUCUUUCUCAGACUAAUUUCACCUAGAUUGUCACGGUUUCCUUCAUGUUAACUUUGCAUAUCUUUGUGCUUCCUUCACUACUACGUAUGUAAUAUAUAUACGUACAUAUGCUGUCCAAAUAUACCUUUACAUAUUUGUAUAGCAUUUUUACACCUACCUUGAGGAAUCUGGUUUCGAAAGGGAGUGAGAGUUUAGUCCCUUCUACAGUUUUCUCCAAGCUGUGUCCUGAGAAUUCUGACCCUCAGAGCCUGAGAGCACCCCAGGAAGAUGAUAUAAUAUGCCGUCAUCUCUUAACUCAGCACCUAUUAUCAAAGGAAACAUGAAAAAACAGUGACUUUUAAGGUGAAAAACAGUUUCAAGCAUUCCAAAUGAAUUCUCAAUGUUUCAUAACUUUUUAUUAUAAACACACCUCCUAAAUAAAGCCAAGUACCAUUUGAUACAGUGAUUAAAAAGCAAACAACUUGGAAAUUUUUUAACAGACAACGUAUGGAUAAAUGCUCAUUUUCACAAUCAGAAUAGCUGUAAAAUACGGUUGAAUUUGAUACAGACAGAAAACGUUUAGUUGAAGGACAAAUCCUUUUUGCUUUUCGUUUUUCUUGGGAGAUCUAAAGAGAAAUUGUGGAUUGUUUUCCUGACAGCAAAAGAGUAAUGUGACAAAAUGAAGUCAUUGUAAAGAAGUGAUGCAACUUGUCAAAUAUUUAAUAAAGAAUUAUGGAAGCUGG